GAUGAACGCUGGCGGCGUGCUUAACACAUGCAAGUCGAGCGAACAGACGAGUAGCUUGCUCCUUGGACGUUAGCGGCGGACGGGUGACGAACACGUAGUUAACCUACCUAUAAGACAGGGAUAACUUAGGGAAACCGAUACUGAUACCGGCUAAUCUUUCGAACCUCUUGGUUCGAUAGUGAAAGAUGGCUUUUCUGUCACCGAUCGAUGGACCUGCGCCGUAUUAGCUAGUUGGUAAGGUAACGGCUUACCAAGGCAACGAUACGUAUCCGACCUGAGAGGGUGAUCGGCCACACUGGAACUGAGACACGGUCCAGACUCCUACGGGAGGCAGCAGUAGGGAAUCGUCCGCAAUGGGCGAAAGCCUGACGGAGCAGCGCCGCGUGAGUGAUGAAGGUCUUCGGAUCGUAAAACUCUGUUAUGAGGGAAGAACCAACGUGUAAGUAACUGUGCACGUCGUGACGGUACCUAAUCAGAAAGCAACGGCUAACUACGUG
This 497-nucleotide ribosomal RNA is filed under the name uncultured bacterium. RNAcentral describes it as "partial 16S ribosomal RNA". It matches the Rfam family "Bacterial small subunit ribosomal RNA", at positions 28 to 507 of the family's 1533-position model. The record is from RNAcentral.